Cavia porcellus (domestic guinea pig) is the source of this 3603-nucleotide long non-coding RNA. RefSeq lists it as uncharacterized. The record is from RefSeq and is a predicted model, not a curated record. The transcript is spliced from 3 exons. Lineage: Eukaryota; Metazoa; Chordata; Mammalia; Rodentia; Caviidae.
GGUUUAUGUUUGUGUCCCCCAGGCCUCAUGAGUUUGCACUGUUCAUUUGUGAUGGUUCAUUGUAUAGUGCUUGGAUUGAUGGGUCAGUGCUCCACCCACAUAGGGGUGGAGCCAGGAUGUGAUGUAAUGGCAGGAAGAAGGUGUGUCUUUCUCUUUGCUGGUUCGAGCUUGCUGUUUGCAGCCGCCAUGAACUGCAGCCCAGCCAUGCCUGCCUGUCUUGGAGCCAACUGAGUGUGGACUGAAACCUCCAAAAACUGUAAGAAAUAAACCUUUCCUUUCCCAACUUGGGCAUCAGGUAUUUUGUUUCAGCGACGAUCAUAAAGUAACUAAGACAGAAAUUUGGUACCGAGGAGUGGGGUCGUUUGCUGUGACUAUACCUGGCCAUGUUUUUCAAGAGGCUUUGGAAAUGGCUUGUGGGCAGAGUUUGGAAAGGUUUGGACAUGUCGCCUGGAUGCAUAGAGCUGGAGCAGCUUAGGCUGUUCUGUAGAGCUCAGGAGACCAGAAGGCUGAUGAUAGAAACCCUCAUGGUAAAGACCAGGCUUGGGAGGUUUCUGCUGGGAAGGACUGCAUUGGUUGUUGGACUCCACAUGAUGUAUGUUAUGGCUUGGCAGAAAGUUUGUCUGCAUUUUGCUCCUGCCCAGAGACUUUGCCUGAGACUGAGACAAAGGGCAAUGGACUGAUUAAUCUUGAAAAAGAAAUUAAGAAGCAAUCGAACAUUGAGGCUGUGGCAUGGCUAUUGUUGGUGGCUUUCAGCCAGCUUUAUGUUUCAAAUCAGGAGCAAAGAGCCCAGCAGGAUAAUGUACAAUGCUGUGAGUUUGGCCCAAAGGAAGAUUCCAGGAAGGGUGUGGAUUAUAAAGACAGAGUUGAGAUUUUGAUUCCUGAGGAGAAAUAGAGAGAUAAGAAAGAUGGCCCUGGGGCAUCCCAGGAAGCAGGUCCCCACCCUGUGCAGCCUCACAGCAAAGAUGAAAAAUUUUGCUCAGAGGAAAAAGGUACAAAGUGCCAUGCUCCAGAAUGGCGACAGAGGCCAAGUGAGGUUCCAGAAUGGCGACAGAGGCCACAUGAGGUUCCAGAAUGGCGGCAACACAGAGAAGCUUUUUCUCACAAUCAGGUAAACAGAGCCCUGCGAUCCAGGCAACUGAGCCCUACAGCCAAGAGAGAGAAAAGCCUGGCUACUGCUUCAGGUAGCAGCAAACCUUGGCGGCAUCCACAAGGUGCUGAUUUUAGGUGCAAGGAAAAUGAACAAAUUCUGAGGGUAAGACAGCUUCCACCUCGAUUGCAAAGGGCCUGGCUGGCCAUGCAGUGUGCCCCUGAGAGGGCAAUUUGUGAAGAUGUAAGUGUGAAGCCGAAGGUGCAGUGGAGACCCCAGAAGUUUGGAAAAGCCAGGAAUGUGGAUGAUCCAAGGAAAGCUGCAAAAAGUGAGCAGAGAGGAUUUAAGAGAAAAGCUGCUGGAGUUGAAAUCGCUGGAAGUGCCCUGGGGGUGGAAUCACCCAAGGCUUUUGGAACUUGCAACCAGAUUGCUUCAGAUGCUGAAUGUAGAACUCUAGGACUUAAUGUUUGCCCUGCUGGAUGUUGGAAUUGCUUUGUUUUGAAUGCUUUCUAUUCUUCUGUUUGUAACUUUUGGAAUGGUAAUAUUUAUCUUGUACCUUUGCAUUUCAGAAAUGUUUAACCUUGUUUCUUUUGUACAGGGGCUUAUAGUUAAGAGUUUGCCAUAGAUCUUGGAGGAGACUUGGGACUUGGACUUUUCAGCAAUGUUGAAGCUGUUAGGACUUUGGCAACUCUUGGAGAUGGACUAAAUGUCUUUUGUAUAAAGGAUGUACAUGAGUCCUGGGGGCCAGGGGUGGAAUGUCAUGGUUUAUGUUUGUGUCCCCCAGGCCUCAUGAGUUUGCACUGUUCAUUUGUGAUGGUUCAUUGUAUAGUGCUUGGAUUGAUGGGUCAGUGCUCCACCCACAUAGGGGUGGAGCCAGGAUGUGAUGUAAUGGCAGGAAGAAGGUGUGUCUUUCUCUUUGCUGGUUCGAGCUUGCUGUUUGCAGCCGCCAUGAACUGCAGCCCAGCCAUGCCUGCCUGUCUUGGAGCCAACUGAGUGUGGACUGAAACCUCCAAAAACUGUUUUGAAAGGCUGCCAUCACUGGACUUGGAGUAGAGCCUGGACACAGUGUGUCUUGCUCCAUACUCAUCCUAGAGCUUGGAGACAUCCCCUGUGAUUGAUCCUAAGAAGGUUCUGUGGCCAAAGGCUACAUGAAGUCGUUACCAGGUUGUAGGGUGCUAGAAUCUCCUUCUUCAUGUGGUUUCCAGGUUCUUUCUGUCCUGAGCAAAGAAUUGGUCGAGAUCCACACAAAAGGAUGAAAGUGAACCACUGUGAAAAAGAGAACACAGCAGCCAAGAGCUCAAGGAUGGCUGUCUUGUGCAUCUCCCACUCCUCAAGCUGAUGUCAGGUCUAGACCGUCCUAUCAAAACCUGCUCAAGUUCCUGCAAGAAGAAUUGAACAAAGCCAGGUGCAGGGCUUUGGGAAAUGUUCUGUGAAUACAUCCUGGAACUCUGUGAUCAACUCCCACUGCCCAUUUCCCCAACCAGUUUGCCUUAAUUCCUUCCCCCUUUCCCCCAAAAGACAUAAAUCCUCAUAAUUUUUUAUGGGGUGCUGAAGUAGAAGUUUCCAUCUUUGUAUAGAUACUUUCUGCUGGAAGGGGCUAUUGGCCCUGCCUAAUGAGGAUUAUGUCCUCUCCAACUUCCUUAGGAUGUUUGUGGGUCACCAGCUAGGUUGGGAAAAAAACCUGAAGUAGUACUGGAGUCUUGUUUUAUGAGGAGGAACAUCAGAGGUUCACAACCAUAGCUUUCUCCGCAGUCCUGUGAAAAUUCUAAUGACUAUUUCCCAUGCAGGGCUUUUAUAGCUUUCUCCUGUGCCCCUUGAGGAAGACCACCUUAAAUGGUUCCUCAGGAACAGGAAAUAAGGCUGAGGUCUUGAGGUGCUCCAAGGCCGUGCUUCUUCUGCCUCUCUGUCAGACUUGUUAUUUCUCAAGUAGAGUUUAAACAUGUCUCUCUGGUGUCCCUUACAAUGAAUUGCAGUGAUCCAUAUGGGAAGAAUAGCUCAUGCCCUCCUUCUUGGUAAGCGACCAUGGCACAAGCGAGAGGCAGACGAGCCAGGAAGAGAACCAGUCAGAGUCUCCCCUGAGCCUACUGGUGCCAAAUGUCCCAUUUCCUCACCCCACCCCCAUUAGCAACUGGGAGCCAGAGGUCUGAGCAUCUCUUGGGAGGACGACCAUAUGCAAUACAGCAAAUAUGGAGGAUUUCCUUCUGUAUUCUCUUUGAAGGUAAAUGUUUUCACUGUUUUGCUCUGUUUUGAUUAAUUGUUUUGCUCUAUUCAAUAUUCUGUUUUGAUAGGUUUAUAAUGCUCUGGUUUUGGUUUUAUUUUGCUAUACCUGAUUGAAUGGACAAUUAUUAUGAAGAAAAUGAGAUAUAGUAUGGUAGUUAUUACUGAUAUCCCAGUAUCCUGCUGUGAAGUUCUGUACCAAUUUCACUGCAAUGUCUCUGUUUGCUUUGUUCUGUCUGGUUCUGUUGUAUUUUAUUAUCUUCAAAAAACAAACAAACAAACAAAAAGAAUAGUCCUAA